GACUGGAGACAGGACAGGGUUGGGUCAAGCCCUCCCCAGGGAGCUCGGCCAGGCCACUACCUAGAAAGGAGAGGCGGCUCCAACAGCAAUCCACCGGGAGUGGGGAAGCGGAGACCAGGCUGUAGGGGCCGAAGGAAUGGGGGGUCAGAAGCCAGGAUGCCCCGACUCAAGGCCUGAUACCACUAAAGCUCCAUCUCCGGGCCACAGGACGCCGCCCAGGCCCUCAGCCCCGCGGAGCCAUCGUUAGCACCGCAGGUUCUACUCCGAAAGCCCAGCCUCCCCCUUGGCCCAACCGACACCCGGGAGGAGCCCCAGAUCUUUGGGGCCCUCAGCGACCCAACCGCCCAUGAAGACCCCCCAGAUCUUUGGGGCCGUGAGCAGCCCAACCACCCGCUCAACGGCCAAAGAUGGAGUCUGAGGCACCUGGAAGUUUCCACAGUCCUCGCCCUCCCACACAGGAUUUGGAAUGAACCUUAGGGGCUUGCUAAGUUUCCAGCCAAGUGGACAGGAUUAGGGCAAUGUAAAAUGGCCUCAGAGUGACUCCGGCCUGGGGAGAGACACCAGCCGCCCGGCCCACCCAGCCAGACGCCCCCUUCUCCGCCCAACCGACACCCAGGGAGAGGCUCCGAGGCCAGCCUGGCCCACUGCCCACCCGUUGGGUGGUGGAAGAUAGAGCCUCGGGCAGCCUGGAAAUUUCAGCGGUCUUCACCCUCCCAAACCAGAUCGGGAUCCUUCAAGACAGAGCAGCUGUCACUACCCACCCAGCCAACCGUCACCGAGGUUCUGACAGGAGCAGGGAGUCGACUGGGAAGGCGAAGAGGCGCCCCCUGAUUGGCCAGCUUCUCCGCCUGCGGCAUCCUGGGAGUUGUAGUCCCAGGCAAGGCCCCUACGGAGAAGGUUCUGGAUACCGGGUUACAACGGACUUGCGCUGCCACUUGGGCGGAAAAAACACUGACAUUCCCUGCCCGCUAUGUGCCAGGCCUUUGCAACCCUUAUCUCCAUUUAAGUUGCACAAGAUAGCGAUAGCGUUAAGUGCGGACUCUGGAAUAAAGCCGCUUGGGUUUGAAUCCUAUUCUGUCACCUGCUUAGUUGUAUAAAUGCAGAUAAGCGAUUAACCAUUCAGAGUGCAGAUGUCCUCACCUAUCGUGUGAAACGAUAAUAACUGCCUUCCAGUAUUAGUUUGAGGGUUAAGUUAGAUAAUGCAUCAGAGGUGCUUGGCAGAUAACAAGGGCCCAGAACUGUUAGCUAUUAUUAUUCCUAUAACAUUUUAUAGGAAUGAUAAUAGUAAAGAGUAGCAUGAAUAAAGAGAUG
This is a long non-coding RNA of Mandrillus leucophaeus (drill), 1311 nucleotides long. RefSeq lists it as uncharacterized. NCBI's taxonomy places the organism in Eukaryota, Metazoa, Chordata, Mammalia, Primates, Cercopithecidae. The transcript has 2 exons. The record is from RefSeq and is a predicted model, not a curated record.